AACGAGGCCGACCUGCGGCUGAGUUACCUGCGGAGGGAUCAUUACCGAGUGAGGGCCCUCCGGGUCCAACCUCCCACCCGUGUUUAACGAACCUUGUUGCUUCGGCGGGCCCGCCUCACGGCCGCCGGGGGGCACCCCGCCCCCGGGCCCGCGCCCGCCGAAGACACCCGUGAACGCUGUCUGAAGUUGCAGUCUGAGACACUAGCUCAAUCAGUUAAAACUUUUAACAAUGGAUCUCAG
This 240-nucleotide unclassified non-coding RNA is filed under the name soil metagenome. Its description in RNAcentral is "partial contains 5.8S ribosomal RNA, internal transcribed spacer 2, and large subunit ribosomal RNA". The record is from RNAcentral.